CCUCCAUGGGAACAGGGACAGGUGGGGACAACGAUGGGACCCCCUGUGGGGAGGGGGACACAAAUGGGGACAGUGACCCCCAUUUGCCCCUGUGCUGUCCCCCCCCCCUUCCUGUCCCUUUAGAAUAGUGACAGUCACACCCCUGUCCCCCCCCAAUCUCCCCUAUGUCCCCAUCAGGAUGGGGGUCCCCAAUGUCCCUAUUAGGGUGGGGGGUCCCCAUUGAAACGGGGGGGGGGGGGUCCCAGUGUCCCCAUCCUUGGCAGGGUCCCAAUAUCCCCCUGGGGGUCCCCAUGUCCCUAUUAGGGUGGGGGUCCCCAUUAGAAUGGGGGUCCUCAUUGAAACAGGGGUCCCCAAUGUCCCCCUGGGGGUCCCCACUAAAAUGGGGGUCCCAGUGCCCCCAUGUCCCCACUGAAAUGGGGGUCCCAGAGUUGCCAUGUCCCCCUGGGGGGUCCCCAUAUUCUCAUUAGGAUGGGGGUCCCCAAUGUCCUCAUGUUGCCCUUGGGGGUCCCCACUGAAAGGGGGAGGGGGGUCCCGGUGUCCCCAUGGGGGUCCCCAUCAGGGUGGGGGUCCCCAAUGUCCCCAUUCGAGGGAGGGUCCUAAUAUCUGCCUGGGGUCCCCAUCAGGGUGGGGGUCACCAUUAAAACAGGGGUCCCAGUGACCCCAAGCCCCCCCAGAGAUCCCCAUCCUCAUUAGGGUGGGGGUCCCCAAUGUCCUCACGUCCCCCUGGAGGUCCCCAGAGAAAUGGGGGGGGGGUCCCGGUGUCCCCAUGUCCCCCUGGGGGUCCCCAUCAGGGUGGGGGUCCCCACGCCCCCAUCACAGUGGGGGUCCCGGUUAAAAUAGGGGCCCCAACGUCCCCAUCAAUCGCAGCGAGGAUCCCGUUACCCCUCUGGGGGGGGUGGGGGGGGUCC
Molecule: long non-coding RNA, 908 nt
Filed under: Phasianus colchicus (ring-necked pheasant)
Lineage: Eukaryota; Metazoa; Chordata; Aves; Galliformes; Phasianidae
Description: lncRNA (ENSPCLG00000013697.1)
Source: RNAcentral